RNAcentral lists this ribosomal RNA (519 nucleotides) under Leucobacter sp. EB63. Its description in RNAcentral is "bacterial SSU rRNA". It matches the Rfam family "Bacterial small subunit ribosomal RNA", at positions 81 to 610 of the family's 1533-position model. The record is from RNAcentral. Lineage: Bacteria; Bacillati; Actinomycetota; Actinomycetes; Micrococcales; Microbacteriaceae.
GCUGGGGUGGAUGAGUGGCGAACGGGUGAGUAACACGUGAGUAACCUGCCCAUCACUCUGGGAUAAGCGCUGGAAACGGCGUCUAAUACUGGAUACGAGCAGCGACCGCAUGGUCAGCUGCUGGAAAGACUGGUUCGGUGAUGGAUGGACUCGCGGCCUAUCAGCUUGUUGGUGAGGUAAUGGCUCACCAAGGCGACGACGGGUAGCCGGCCUGAGAGGGUGACCGGCCACACUGGGACUGAGACACGGCCCAGACUCCUACGGGAGGCAGCAGUGGGGAAUAUUGCACAAUGGGCGCAAGCCUGAUGCAGCAACGCCGCGUGAGGGAUGACGGCCUUCGGGUUGUAAACCUCUUUUAGUAGGGAAGAAGCCUUCGGGUGACGGUACCUGCAGAAAAAGCACCGGCUAACUACGUGCCAGCAGCCGCGGUAAUACGUAGGGUGCAAGCGUUGUCCGGAAUUAUUGGGCGUAAAGAGCUCGUAGGCGGCUUGUCGCGUCUGCUGUGAAAACCCGAGGCUC